CCAUUGUCUAAUUUAAUUGAAUUGCAUCUGAGGAACUGUACAGAAUUCGAGACUCUCCCAAGCAGUUUUUGUAAGUUGAAAUCUCUCCAAAAGGUUAAUCUCUCUGGCUGCUCCAAAUUUGAGAACUUCCCAGAAAUUUUGGAGACUAUGGUUUCAUUGAGAUAUCUAUACUUAGACAGAACAGCCAAGAAGGUUACCGUUGCCAAUUAAAAAUCUUCCAGGACUUUCUGUCUUGGAAUUGGGGAACUGCAAAAACCUUGUCAAAAUGCCUGAAUUUUAUAGCAGCUUACCUGACUGGAAUGCAGAUUUAGAAUAUCUGCGGAAGCUAUGCCUAAGUGGUUGUGGUAUAUCACAUGUGCCUUGCACCAUCCGCUGCUUUUCCUCUCUGGAAGUACUGGACUUAAGUGGAAACAAUUUUGAGCAUUUACAUAUAAGCUUUGAGAACUUCCCGGAGCUGCAAUACCUUGGCCUAAGGUCUUGUAAGCGGCUUUUAUCGUUACCAGAGCUUCCACCACGGCUAACAAAAUUAGAUGCAAAUGAUUGCACAUCGCUGAUAAAUGUUUCGACCAAAUCGACUGCAGUUGAGGGGAACAUCUGUGACUUCUUUUUCACCAAUUGUCUCAGUUUAGAUGAGAUUGCUUGCAAUAACAUCAUGGCAUAUGCCCUAUUGAAAAUUCAGAUUUUCACCAAAAGAUUACACAAUCAGAUGUAUUCUGUACCAGCCGGGCCUUCCAGCUUAUGCUUUCCAGGAAGAACAAUUCCAAAAUGGUUUGGGCAUCAAAGUUGGAAAUNNUGAGCUGCCUUCAUAUUGGGCUAGUAAUGAUUUCUUGGGUUUCACUCUAUGUGCACUUGUUGCAUUUGAUUCGUGUUUUGAUGAAUCCAGUUUCCAAUUUAGAUGCAGUUACCAUUUCAAGAAUAAUUAUGGUGAUUUCCUGGAUCUCCAUUGUGAUUUUGGUGGUUGGUAUGGCUGGAAGGAUAGACGAUUUAUCAAGUCAGAUCAUGUGUUCGUGGGGUUUGAUCCCUGUUUGGAC
RNAcentral lists this unclassified non-coding RNA (1031 nucleotides) under Hevea brasiliensis (rubber tree). Lineage: Eukaryota; Viridiplantae; Streptophyta; Magnoliopsida; Malpighiales; Euphorbiaceae. The record is from RNAcentral.